Molecule: ribosomal RNA, 494 nt
Filed under: uncultured bacterium
Lineage: Bacteria
Description: partial 16S ribosomal RNA
Rfam family: Bacterial small subunit ribosomal RNA
Source: RNAcentral
GACGAACGCUGGCGGCGUGCUUAACACAUGCGAGUCGAACGGAAAGGCCUGCUUUCCCUUGUGGAUUGCGGGUGCUCGAGUGGCGAACGGGUGAGUAACACGUGAGUGAUCUGCCCCCAACUUGGGUAUAAGCCUGGGAAACUGGGUCUAAUUCCCGAUAGGACUGCAGGGUGGUGCCUGUGGUGGAAAACGAUUUUCUAGUGGUUGGGGAUGAGCUCGCGGCCUAUCAGCUUGUUGGUGGGGUAAUGGCCUACCAAGGCGGCGACGGGUAGCCGGCCUGAGAGGGUGGACGGCCCCAUUGGGACUGGGUUCCGGCCCAGACUCCUGCGGGAGGCAGCAGUGGGGAAUAUUGGACAGUGGGCGGAAGCCUGAUGCAGCGACGCCGCGUGGGGGAUGACGGCCUUCGGGUUGUAAACUCCUUUCGACCGCGAGGAAGCCACCUGGUUGGAAGGGUGGUGACGGUAGUGGUAGAAGAAGCACCGGCUAACUACGUG